CUCAGUCGGUAGAGCAUCAGACUUU
This 25-nucleotide non-coding RNA is filed under the name Xenopus tropicalis (tropical clawed frog). RNAcentral also lists the same sequence under 5 other names. The record is from RNAcentral. Lineage: Eukaryota; Metazoa; Chordata; Amphibia; Anura; Pipidae.